RNAcentral lists this unclassified non-coding RNA (268 nucleotides) under plant metagenome. Its description in RNAcentral is "partial contains small subunit ribosomal RNA, internal transcribed spacer 1, and 5.8S ribosomal RNA". The stretch from base 1 to 54 matches the Rfam family "Eukaryotic small subunit ribosomal RNA", at positions 1778 to 1831 of the family's 1831-position model. The record is from RNAcentral.
GGAAGUAAAGGUCGUAACAAGGUUUCCGUAGGUGAACCUGCGGAAGGAUCAUUAGUGAAUCUGAUAUAUAGAUCGCAUCCUUUUGUGAAGCCAAUGGCCAAAUAUAUUGAUUGAUUUAGGGAUUAAACAUGUUGAUUCUUGCGAGUCGACGGCCCCCAAAAAGAUCACAAAUCUUUUUUUAAAACCCAAUUUCUUAUUUAUCUGACUGAUUAUUUUAUAUCAAUAAUAUUGAAAAAAAUAACUUUCAACAACGGAUCUCUUGGUUCUC